This 1431-nucleotide ribosomal RNA is filed under the name metagenome. RNAcentral describes it as "bacterial LSU rRNA". It matches the Rfam family "Bacterial large subunit ribosomal RNA", at positions 1338 to 2897 of the family's 2925-position model. The record is from RNAcentral.
GGAAAGUCCAAGGGUUCCUGCUUAAAGCUAAUCUGAGCAGGGUAAGCCGGCCCCUAAGGCGAGGCCGAAAGGCGUAGUCGAUGGGAACCAGGUUAAUAUUCCUGGGCCAGGAGAUGGUGACGGAUCGCAGAGCUAGUUCUUCCUUAUCGGAUUGGAAGGGCUGGUGAGUGGUUCCUGGAAAUAGCCCUCCAUGAGACCGUACCCUAAACCGACACAGGUGGACUGGUAGAGAAUACCAAGGCGCUUGAGAGAACCACAUUUAAGGAACUCGGCAAAAUACCUCCGUAAGUUCGCGAGAAGGAGGCCCCGUUGGCAGGCAACUGUUGGCGGGGGGCACAAACCAGGGGGUGGCGACUGUUUACUAAAAACACAGGGCUCUGCGAAGUCGUAAGACGACGUAUAGGGUCUGACGCCUGCCCGGUGCCGGAAGGUUAAAAGGAGAUGUGCAAGCAUUGAAUUGAAGCCCCGGUAAACGGCGGCCGUAACGAUAACGGUCCUAAGGUAGCGAAAUUCCUUGUCGGGUAAGUUCCGACCUGCACGAAUGGCGUAACGACUUCCCCGCUGUCUCAAAUGUGGACUCAGCGAAAUUGAAUUGUCUGUGAAGAUGCAGACUUCCCGCGGUUAGACGGAAAGACCCCAUGCACCUUUACUAUAGCUUCGCACUGGCAUCAGGAUUGUGAUGUGCAGGAUAGGCGGUAGGCUUUGAAGCGGGAACGCUAGUUCCCGUGGAGCCAUCCUUGAGAUACCGCCCUUCGCACUCUUGAUGUCUAACCGCGGCCCGUUAUCCGGGUCCGGGACCCUGCGUGGUGGGUAGUUUGACUGGGGCGGUCGCCUCCCAAACAGUAACGGAGGCGCGCGAAGGUUGGCUCAGACCGGUCGGAAAUCGGUCGUUGAGUGCAAUGGCAGAAGCCAGCCUGACUGCAAGACUGACAAGUCGAGCAGAGACGAAAGUCGGUCAUAGUGAUCCGGUGGUCCCGAGUGGAAGGGCCAUCGCUCAACGGAUAAAAGGUACGCUGGGGAUAACAGGCUGAUGAUGCCCAAGAGUCCAUAUCGACGGCAUCGUUUGGCACCUCGAUGUCGGCUCAUCUCAUCCUGGGGCUGGAGCAGGUCCCAAGGGUAUGGCUGUUCGCCAUUUAAAGAGGUACGUGAGCUGGGUUUAGAACGUCGUGAGACAGUUCGGUCCCUAUCUGCCGUGGGUGUAGGAUACUUGAGAGGAGUUGCCCCUAGUACGAGAGGACCGGGGUGAACGUUCCACUGGUGGACCAGUUGUCGUGCCAACGGCAGUGCUGGGUAGCUAUGAACGGACAGGAUAAACGCUGAAGGCAUCUAAGCGUGAAGCCCCCCUCAAAACCAGGUAUCCCUUGAGAGCCGUGGAAGACCACCACGUCGAUAGGCCGGAGAUGUAAGCGCAGCAAUGCGUUCAGUUGACCG